Molecule: ribosomal RNA, 541 nt
Filed under: uncultured bacterium
Lineage: Bacteria
Description: partial 16S ribosomal RNA
Rfam family: Bacterial small subunit ribosomal RNA
Source: RNAcentral
UGAGGAAUAUUGCGCAAUGGGGGAAACCCUGACGCAGCCACGCCGCGUGGAGGAUGACACUGCUCUGCAGCGUAAACUCCUUUUGUAAGGGAAGAACAGCGCGGUCGCCGCGCCUGACGGUACCUUACGAAUAAGCACCGGCUAACUCCGUGCCAGCAGCCGCGGUAAUACGGAGGGUGCAAGCGUUGUCCGGAAUCACUGGGUGUAAAGGGUGUGUAGGCGGGACGGUAAGUCGAGGGUGAAAGCCCGCAGCUUAACUGCGGAACUGCCCUUGAUACUGCCGACCUUGAGUCCCGGAGAGGUGGCUGGAAUUCGUGGUGUAGCGGUGAAAUGCGUAGAUAUCACGAGGAACACCAAAGGCGUAGGCAGGUCACUGGACGGGUACUGACGCUGAGGCACGAAAGUGUGGGGAGCAAACAGGAUUAGAUACCCUGGUAGUCCACACUGUAAACGAUGGACGCUUGGUGUUGCGGCAAUUUUGCUGCAGUGCCUAAGCAAAACGCGUUAAGCGUCCCACCUGGGGAGUACGCUCGCAAGAGUG